Molecule: long non-coding RNA, 485 nt
Filed under: Mustela putorius furo (domestic ferret)
Lineage: Eukaryota; Metazoa; Chordata; Mammalia; Carnivora; Mustelidae
Description: lncRNA (ENSMPUG00000025323.1)
Source: RNAcentral
AGGCUUUCCCCUCCUCCUCCUAGGAGAGGAGCAUGCAGGGACCCUGGUCUGGCUCCACAGGGAGCCUUAAACUGGGAAGUCUGGACUCUGCCAUCAUUGGUUUUAUCCCGGACUCCAGGAGACAGACCCUUAGCUGCCUCGUGCCCCCGUGUGUCCAGCCCCCAGACUGGAGUCAUUUAAAACAGGAACUCGGAGGACACAGCUCCUUGCCUGUCUGUGAAUAGUCUCCCAGGCAUGGAAUUCUAGGAACCCGCAUGCCACUUGAGAGACGUCAGGGGAAGAGCAUGUCCCUUGCAAGGUAGCUGGAAGCAACUCCAAGAGUCUGAAAAAUUCAUCCUGGCACCAAGUCUGGCACAACCGUGGUGCGGAUUUUCCACUGCCUCACCCGCCCGCCUCAAAUCACCUACACUGACUCCUCCUCCCCUUCACUUGACAAGGAUGUACUGAGCACCUACUAUGUGUUGAGCAUCUUCUAGGCACCAGAA